AGCGACAGGCCUAACACAUGCAAGUCGAGGGGCAGCACAAGGAGCAAUCUGAGGUGGCGACCGGCGCACGGGUGAGUAACACGUAUGCAACCUGCCUGUAAGCGGGGAAUAACCCGUUGAAAGACGGACUAAUACCGCAUAAUACUAAAUUACUGCAUGGUAAUUUAUUUAAACAUUUAUGGCUUACAGAUGGGCAUGCGCAUGAUUAGCUAGUUGGAGAGGUAACGGCUCCCCAAGGCAACGAUCAUUAGGGGUUCUGAGAGGAAGGUCCCCCACACUGGUACUGAGACACGGACCAGACUCCUACGGGAGGCAGCAGUGAGGAAUAUUGGUCAAUGGACGAGAGUCUGAACCAGCCAAGUCGCGUGCAGGAAGAAUGUCCCUAUGGAUUGUAAACUGCUUUUGCAGGGGAAUAAAGUGCAUCACGUGUGAUGUUUUGUAUGUACUCUGCGAAUAAGGAUCGGCUAACUCCGUGCCAGCAGCGGC
RNAcentral lists this ribosomal RNA (486 nucleotides) under uncultured bacterium. RNAcentral's name for it is "bacterial SSU rRNA". It matches the Rfam family "Bacterial small subunit ribosomal RNA", at positions 39 to 518 of the family's 1533-position model. The record is from RNAcentral.